This 96-nucleotide non-coding RNA is filed under the name unclassified sequences. The record is from RNAcentral.
AGAGUUGGUGAAUCGCACUAUCUACUAGUAAAGUAAUGCAGCCGCCCGCCGCGCGCGGGGACGUCGGUAGCAAGCCCGUGUAAUGCAGAGUUUUCU